This 497-nucleotide ribosomal RNA is filed under the name uncultured bacterium. Its description in RNAcentral is "partial 16S ribosomal RNA". It matches the Rfam family "Bacterial small subunit ribosomal RNA", at positions 28 to 507 of the family's 1533-position model. The record is from RNAcentral.
GAUGAACGCUGGCGGCGUGCCUAAUACAUGCAAGUCGAGCGAACAGACGAGGAGCUUGCUCCUCUGACGUUAGCGGCGGACGGGUGAGUAACACGUGGAUAACCUACCUAUAAGACUGGGAUAACUUCGGGAAACCGGAGCUAAUACCGGAUAAUAUAUUGAACCGCGUGGUUCAAUAGUGAAAGACGGUUUUGCUGUCACUUAUAGAUGGAUCCGCGCCGCAUUAGCUAGUUGGUAAGGUAACGGCUUACCAAGGCAACGAUGCGUAGCCGACCUGAGAGGGUGAUCGGCCACACUGGAACUGAGACACGGUCCAGACUCCUACGGGAGGCAGCAGUAGGGAAUCUUCCGCAAUGGGCGAAAGCCUGACGGAGCAACGCCGCGUGAGUGAUGAAGGUCUUCGGAUCGUAAAACUCUGUUAUUAGGGAAGAACAAAUGUGUAAGUAACUAUGCACGUCUUGACGGUACCUAAUCAGAAAGCCACGGCUAACUACGAG